GAGGAUAUAGCCCAGUGGUAGAGCUAGUGCCUAGCAUGCUCAAGGUCCUGGGUUCAAUCCCUAUUACCUCC
Molecule: transfer RNA, 71 nt
Filed under: Camelus bactrianus (Bactrian camel)
Lineage: Eukaryota; Metazoa; Chordata; Mammalia; Artiodactyla; Camelidae
Also listed under: 2 other names
Rfam family: tRNA
About the family: Transfer RNA (tRNA) molecules are approximately 80 nucleotides in length.
Source: Rfam by way of RNAcentral